UACAUCGGUGACAGGUGGUGCAUGGUUGUCGUCAGCUCGUGUCGUGAGAUGUUGGGUUAAGUCCCGCAACGAGCGCAACCCCUAUUGUUAGUUGCCAUCAUUCAGUUGGGCACUCUAGCGAGACUGCCGGUAAUAAACCGGAGGAAGGUGGGGAUGACGUCAAAUCAUCAUGCCCCUUAUGACCUGGGUUACACACGUGCUACAAUGGUUGGUACAACGAGUUGCGAGUCGGUGACGGCGAGCUAAUCUCUUAAAGCCAAUCUCAGUUCGGAUUGUAGGCUGCAACUCGCCUACAUGAAGUCGGAAUCGCUAGUAAUCGCGGAUCAGCACGCCGCGGUGAAUACGUUCCCGGGCCUU
RNAcentral lists this ribosomal RNA (357 nucleotides) under uncultured Streptococcus sp. RNAcentral describes it as "bacterial SSU rRNA". It matches the Rfam family "Bacterial small subunit ribosomal RNA", at positions 1024 to 1382 of the family's 1533-position model. The record is from RNAcentral. Lineage: Bacteria; Bacillati; Bacillota; Bacilli; Lactobacillales; Streptococcaceae.